This 1425-nucleotide ribosomal RNA is filed under the name metagenome. RNAcentral's name for it is "bacterial SSU rRNA". It matches the Rfam family "Archaeal small subunit ribosomal RNA". The record is from RNAcentral.
GUUGAUCCUGCGGGAGGUUGCUGCUAUUUGGGUUCGAUUUAGCCAUGCAAGUCAGGUAGCAAUACCGGCGACAUGCUCAGUAACACGUCGAUAACCUACCUUUAGGUGGGGGAUAACCUCGGAAACCUGAGGGUAAUACCCCAUAGGAGCUUUUUUCUGGAAUGAUAUAGCUCUUAAAGAUUACGCCUAAAGAUGGGUCGGCGGCGGAUUAGGUUGUUGGUGGGGUAAUGGCCCACCAAGCCGAUGAUCCGUAGGGGCCUUGAGAGAGGUAGCCCCGAGAAGGACACUGAAAUACUGGUCCUAGCCCUACGGGGUGCAGCAGGCGCGAAACCUUUACAAUGCACGAAAGUGUGAUAGGGGGACCCAAAGUGCUCAUGCAAUGCAUGGGCUUUUGUUAAGCACAAAUAGCUUGGCGAAUAAGUGGUGGGAAAGACUGGUGCCAGCCGCCGCGGUAACACCAGCGCCACAAGUGGUAACCAUGGUUACUGGGCCUAAAGCGUCCGUAGCCGGCUUUGUAAAUCUUUUGUGAAAUUGUUGGGCUUAACCUAACAACGUGCAGAAGAGACUGCAAAGCUAGGAACCGGGAGGAGUUAGGAGUAUUUUUGGGGGAGCGGUAAAAUGUUAUAAUCCCAAGAAGACUACCAGUGGCGAAGGCGCCUAACUAGAACGGAUUCGACGGUGAUGGACGAAAGCCAGGGGAGCGAAACGGAUUAGAUACCCGAGUAGUCCUGGCUGUAAACGCUGCGAGCUAGGUGUCAUGUAUUCUUCGGGAAUAUGUGGUGUCGUAGAGAAGUCGUUAAGCUCGCCGCCUGGGAAGUACGGCCGCAAGACUGAAACUUAAAGGAAUUGGCGGGGGAGCACCACAAGGGGUGCGGCGUGCGGUUUAAUCCAAUUCAACACGGAAAAUCUCACCAGAGGCGACGGCAGGAUGAAAGUCAUGCUAAAGACAUUACUUGACGAGCCGAGAGGUAGUGCAUGGCCGUCGGCAGCUCGUACCGUGAGGUGUCCUGUUAAGUCAGGCAACGAGCGAGACCUGUACCUAUAAUUGCCAUCAGCUUCUUUUGAAGGACUGGGCACAUUAUAGGGACUGCCCUCGAAAGGGGGAGGAAGGUGCAGGCUACGGUAGGUCUGUAUGCUCCGAAUCUUCUGGGCUACACGCGCGCAACAAUGGUAAGGACAAUGGGAUGCCACUCCGAAAGGAGAAGCUAAACCUCAAAACCUUAUCUUAGUUCAGAUCGAGGAUUGUAACUCAUCCUCGUGACGAUGGAAUCCCUAGUAAUCGGAUCUCAUCAUGAUCCAGUGAAUGUGUCCCUGCUCCUUGCACACACCGCCCGUCAAACCAACCGAGCAGGGUUUUGGUGAGCCUUGGUUUUUUGACCAAGCCGAACCUAAGCUCAGUAAGGUGGGUUAAGUCGUCACAAGGUA